RNAcentral lists this transfer RNA (96 nucleotides) under Pseudoalteromonas holothuriae. RNAcentral describes it as "Pseudoalteromonas sp. CIP111854 tRNA-Asp". Lineage: Bacteria; Pseudomonadati; Pseudomonadota; Gammaproteobacteria; Alteromonadales; Pseudoalteromonadaceae. The record is from RNAcentral.
GUUUACUGGGGUAAGGUUAACAGCCCGAUAUUUUAUCAUGGUAUUUGGCUAUAUUUUUUAAUAAAGUGCCCGCUGGUUGCAAUUGGGCGGUAAAUC